Long non-coding RNA from Humulus lupulus (European hop), 503 nucleotides. RefSeq lists it as uncharacterized. The transcript has 2 exons. The record is from RefSeq and is a predicted model, not a curated record. Lineage: Eukaryota; Viridiplantae; Streptophyta; Magnoliopsida; Rosales; Cannabaceae.
UUGAAAAUGGGAAAAACUCUUUUCCAAAAUCCCUCAACCUAAAUUCUCUUUUUUUUUUCUUUUUCACUCUGCUCUCCUCUCCACCUUUCGACUGAAAGCUGUAGCAUACCGUUUUUUCCAUCAAUGCCCAACUCCCACUCGUCUCUCCUCUUGGUUGCGUGCUCUAGAUCUACUUCUCCUAUGCCUAUAACAACGAAGCUCGAUCUCCUUCUCCUCUAAGCUCUAGUGAUUCUCCUCUACUCAGCCUCAGAUUCUCUACUCUCAAAUAUGCAUUCUAAUCAGAUGACAAUGCUAUUCUUGAUGAUGGUGCAAGAAUUCAACAACCUUUUCCUGUUGUAACCAGGCAGAUAUUAUGCAUUAGUAGAUGUAAUGCAGAGUGUUGUAGUGCAGAACUGCAGGAUUACCUUUCUGUCUGUGGUUCUUUUAUUGUAAUAAUAUCUACUUAUAUUUACCACUUGUGAUGUGUAUAUUUUUUUAAUUUAUUCUCUUGCACUUAAAAAAGU